Balaenoptera acutorostrata (minke whale) is the source of this 773-nucleotide long non-coding RNA. RefSeq lists it as uncharacterized. The transcript has 3 exons. NCBI's taxonomy places the organism in Eukaryota, Metazoa, Chordata, Mammalia, Artiodactyla, Balaenopteridae. The record is from RefSeq and is a predicted model, not a curated record.
GGCGUGAGGUUGGAGGGGGCGCAGUGGGCGGGGCCCGAGGGCCGGACGCCGAGUCGGAGCGCCUGGGGGGGCCCCAGACAUUUCCAGGAAGCAGCUCGCUCCGCAGCUCCACCUGCUGGUCCCGGCCAGAUCCGCCCGUCCUGAGGACCAGUAGGUCCGAUUCUCUGCACCGCACUUCUUGUGGGAUCCUAGUUCCCUGACCAGGGAUCGAACCCGGGCCCCGGCAGUGAAAGUGCGGAGUCCUAACCACUGGACCGCCAGGGAAUUCCCUCCAGAAGACUUUAUAUAAGGUCUGCUUCACACCUGGGUUGUAACAGCUUCCUUUCCUGGCUUGAUUUGUGAAAGGGGACUUUAGCAAAGAGGAAGCAAGUGAAGGCUUGAAAAAUGCCGGUGCAUUGGAGCUUGCCCACUUGUUAUACUUGUAACACAGAGAACACCUUGUGAAAGAGCUCAAGCCAACCUGCUGGAGGAAGAGAGGCCACAGGGAAAAGAACCAAGGCACCCCAGGUGACAGCCAGUCAACGAUCAACACACAGGAGUGAGGCCAUCCUAGAUCAUUCAGAUGCUAGCCAACCCACCAACUGACCAAAGACAGGUCGCCAGACCAAAAAGUCUCCCAGCUGAGCCACAGAAUCGUUAGCUAAAUAAAAUGGUUGUUUUAUUUUUUAUUAUUAUUUUUCUUCAAUUUUUGGCUGCGCCACGCGGCUUUCAGGAUCUUAGUUCCCUGACCAGGGAUCGAACCCAGGCCCAUGGCAGUGAAAGUGCUGAGUCCU